GGGCCCGCACAAGCAGUGGAGCAUGUGGUUUAAUUCGACGCAACGCGAAGAACCUUACCAGCGUUUGACAUGGGAAGUGCCGGUUACAGAAUGGUAACCUUCAGUUCGGCUGGCUUCCGCACAGGUGCUGCAUGGCUGUCGUCAGCUCGUGUCGUGAGAUGUUGGUUAAGUCCCGCAACGAGCGCAACCCUUAUCGUUAGUUACUAACAGUUCGGCUGAGGACUCUAGCGAAACUGCCGGUGAUAAGCCCGGAGGAAGGUGGGGGAUGACGUCAAGUCCUCAUGGCCCUUACACGCUGGGCUACACACGUGCUACAAUGGUAACUACAACGGGACGCAAUACCGCGAGGUGGAG
Molecule: ribosomal RNA, 354 nt
Filed under: uncultured bacterium
Lineage: Bacteria
Description: bacterial SSU rRNA
Rfam family: Bacterial small subunit ribosomal RNA
Source: RNAcentral